This 531-nucleotide small RNA is filed under the name Pongo abelii (Sumatran orangutan). RNAcentral describes it as "processed transcript". Lineage: Eukaryota; Metazoa; Chordata; Mammalia; Primates; Hominidae. The record is from RNAcentral.
GCUCCACCACGAACAUGUAGUAGAGGUUCCACAGCAGCAUCGACAGCAGCGGCAGAAACGUCAGGCCGUAGCCGAAGCCUCGGAAGGAGCGGCCCACGGCGAAGAGACAUGGUCUUGCUAUGUUGCCAGUCUGGGCUCAAACUUCUGGCCUUGAGUGAUUCUCUCACCUCAGACUGCUGAGUAGCUGGGAUUACAGAUGCGAGCCACCACACCUGGCUGCACAAACUUUUAAAAUGUUUGAGCAAAUUCAAUGAGUAUAGUAAAAUAUCUUCCUCCCUUUACCGAUUCCCACCCUAUUUUCCCCCACCCCCACCCCAGGCAUCAAUAUUGCGGUUUCUUGUGCACUGAGUGAUUUUUAUUUUUUAUUAUUAUUUUAUUUUUUUUUUUUUGAGACGGAGUCUCGCUCUGUCACCCAGGCUGGAGUGCAGUGGUGCGAUCUCAGCUCACUGCAACCUCCGCCUCCCGGGUUCAAGCGAUUCUCCUGCCUCAGCCUCCCGAGUAGCUGGGACUACAGGCGCCCGCCACCACACC